This 4676-nucleotide long non-coding RNA is filed under the name Sus scrofa (pig). RNAcentral describes it as "lncRNA (ENSSSCG00060053753.1)". Lineage: Eukaryota; Metazoa; Chordata; Mammalia; Artiodactyla; Suidae. The record is from RNAcentral.
UUAGAGAAGUCCCUUCAGUAUUUCUUUUAGAAUGGGUUUUGUAUUGCUGUAUUCUUUUAGCUUUUGUUUGUUGGAAAAAAUUUUUAUUUCCCCUUUUGUUUUAAAUGAUAUUCUUGCUGGAUAGAGUAUUCUAGGUUGUAUAUUUUUUCCUUCCAGUGCUUGCCAUUCCCUCCUUGCCUGUAGAGUUUCUGUAGAGAAAGCAGCUGAUAACCUUAUGGGGGUUCCCUUACAGGUAACAUUUUGCUUUUCUCUUGCUGCCUUUAGGAUCCUCUCUUUAUUAUUAACUUUUGCUAUUUUUAUUAUAAUGUGUUUUAUGUGGGUCUAUUUGGGUUCAACUUGUUUGGGGCCCUGUGUGAUUCCUGUAUCUUGAAAUCUGUAUCCUUUAGAUUUGGAAAGUUUCCAGCGUUAAUUUCUUCAAAUAUAUUUUCAAUUCUGUUAUCUUUUUCUUCUCCUUCGGGAAUUCCUAUUAUGCAUAGAUUGGCCCACUUCAUAUUAUCCCAUAGGUCUCUUAUAUUCCUUUCAUGUUUUUUCAUUUGGUUUUCUGUCUGCUGUCCCAUUUGGGUGAUUUCCAUCAUUCUAUAUUCCACAUGACUGAUUUGUUCCUCUGCAUUAUUCAUUCUGGUUUUUACUGCCUUUAGCUCCGUUUGUAUCUCUGCAAAUGAAUUUUCUAGUUUUUCUUGGCUCCUCCUUAUAUUUUCUAGUUCCUUUCUGAUGGAGUCUACAUUACUGUUCAUAUCUUCUCUUAAUUCCUUCAGUAUUUUCGCUGUCUCCCUUUUGAACUCUAAGUCUGUCAGACUGCAGAGGUCUGUUUCAUUGUUGACUGCUUUAGGUGAGUUCUCCUGUUGGUUUAACUGGGGGUGGUUUCUGAGCUUCUUCAUCUUGCUUGUUAUUUUCUUUUUGUGGUGGAGGUGCACUCCCCAUGGCCACGCAGGGUUUGCCCUGGUGCUACUGUGGAGUGCUUCCUGAGGGCUGGUGGUGUUGGCUGGCCUUCUUUGUGUCAGUAGGGUGUUUCCCGAGCAAAGGAGGACUUCCUGAGGGUGGGUGGGACUAGCAGGACUACACCGUGUUGGUGGCACACUUCCCGAGGCCAGGCAGGGUUUGCCCAGGUGCUCCUGGGCUGUGGAGCUCUUCUCGAGGGUGGGUGGUGCUGGGUGGCUUGCUCUGCUGGAGCGUAGUGCUUCCCAAGGGCUGCCAGGGCUAGCCGGCUCACUCUGAUACCAAGGAGCAUUUCCCAAGGGUGGGCUGGGCUAGCCAGCUCAAUCUAAGGCAAAGGAGUGCUUCCUGAGGGCGGGCAGAGCUAGCCGGCUUACUCAGAGACAAAAGAGCACUUCACUGGGGCAGACGGGACAGGCAGGUCUACACUGCAAUGGAGCAGACUUCCCAUGACCAGGCAGGGAUUGUCUCCAUGCUUCAGAGCUCUUCCAGGGGGUGGUUGCUCCACAGGAGUGCAGUGCCUCUAGAGGGUGGGAGGAGCUAGCUGGGUUGGUCCAAGGCAAAGGAGUCGCUUACAAGUCCCGGGGGGGAGCUCUUCCUUAGGUGAGUGAUGCUGGGUGGCUGCUCUGCAGGAGUGCAGCACCUCCAAGGGCGGGCAGGCCGGGCUGGGGAAAGCCCCAGAGGAAGUUGGCUUCCUGUGAGUGGUGAGGCCAGUCCCCUGGGAUGACAGGUGGCUUCUGGCCUUGUGCACACAGGGUGGAGGAGGGGGGUGCACUGGGAAGCUCUGCUCUCUGCUAGCUGGUAAGCAAGUGUGUUUGGCGGGGCACAAUGAGUAUUCUAUGGUGGCCUGCCCCUCUUCCUCACCCCUCUCCAACACUGGCGCCUUGUCUCUCCUGCUGUUCAAGACCUUCUCCCAGGUUCCCUCUGUUGUGGCUUUCCACUCCCCAGCCCUUAGCGUGUUGUUCCCUUCACCUGUGAUGCACCACUUCCUAAUCCCUCAGGCUGUCUCCACACUGCCAACCCCAGCCCACUCCCGAGGACUAAACUCCGGAGCCUAGGUCUUGGUGCCCAGCCCCCACCCAAGUAUCUCGGUUUGGGGGGACUAUGCCAGUAGUUCAGAUGACCUCUGCAGCUCUCACUGUGCUUUUCAGAUCUCAGACCUACUGCUGCACUUUUCUCAGCAUCUGGAGAUCCCUCCAACUUGGUUGAUCUUUCCAUCAUUUAGGUGACUUUGCAGGGUGUGGGUUCCCUUUCUCCUUCACAAUUCCCUCUCAGGAGUGCUAGUGUGGUCCUGAUUCCCCUUCUCUCUCUCUCUCUCCUCUUUUCUCUUGUUUUACCCAGUUAUGUCACAAGAUUCUUGCUGUUUUUGGAGGUUUAAGUUCUUCCGCCAGCAUUCAGUUGCUGUUCUGUGUGAGUUCUUUAACAUGUAGAUGUGUUUUUUUGUUGUGUUUGUGAGAGAGGGCUAGUGCAUCUUCCUACUCUUCCGCCAUCUAUCCCCUCUCUCUCUUUUUUUCUUUUUUGGUGACAGUGAUUUCCAUAUUCUGUCUUCCACCUCACUUAUUUGUUCUUCUGCCUGUUUUCCUGUUGUUAAUUCCUUCUAAUUUAUUCUUCAUUUCAGAUAUUGUGCUCUCCAUCUCCAUCUGCUUGUUCUUUAGGUCUUCUAGCUCUUUGUUAAACGUCUCUUGCAACUUCUCUAUCUGUGUCUCCAAUUUUUUCCUCAAGGUCUUGGAUCAUCUAUAGUAUCACACUCUGAAUUCUUUUUCAGGUAGAUUGCUUAUCUCCUCUUCAUUUAGUUGUUUUUGUCUUGUUCCUUUGUCUGAAAUCUAUUUCUUUGUCCUCUCAUAUUGUCUAACUCUCUAUAUUUACUGUCUCCUUGAUGAUAGAUAUGCAGAUACAGCAGGUGGUUCCUCAUCUUGGAGGUGGUAGUGGCUCACCUCUACCUAGAGUACUUGAUGGGAGCAGUGAUAUUAUGCUACCUCCCCUGGAGCUUGGUGGCUGUUAGGAAUGGUAUCCAUGUGAGUGUUGGCAGUAGUUCAUGGUUCGCAUGAUUACUUUUGUGGUGGCAGGGGAGUUGUUCAUUGCUCACUCCUAUGACCCCUCCUGCUUCCAGGUAUCUCUUGGGAUGUUUCUUGGAUGUAAUUUGCACCAUCAGCAGUUGAUCUUGCAUGUCCUCCCUUUGCUAGGGAGGCUGUAGAGACCACUCUCCAUGGCUGGGGGCGCAGGUGCCCAGUGGGUGUUCUUUGUAGCCCUAGAAGUAGGGGCUUCUCCCUAACUGUUGCUAAAAGGCUUUCUCUGUAUCUGUAAGGCCCGUACCAUUCCAGCAGUCCCUCCUCCAAUAGGACUGAUGGUAGAGUGCUCCUUGUAGCCAUUUUGAAGUCAAAGUGUAGUCCAUCAGGCUCCUCUCAGCUCCUUUGGCUAACUGUGCAAUAUAUGCUGCUUCUGCAAUCCCCUGCUUGAUGGUUGUCAGGGAUCAUGGAGCUUGUGCUAUUCCUGAGAUCACUCUGCCAAUCUGCUGGCUAUUUAUGUCUUCUUGGAUGUGCGCAUUGUUUCCAGGUUCACUGUGCCCCUUCCUUUUGAGGCUUUCCACCUGCCCACCUGGCCUCUUGUGACUCUCAGAAUCCUUCAUGCUAUUUCCAAGUUCACUUUUCUGCCCUGAUGCAGGUUACAUCUCUUCACCUGCCCACCAGGCCUUUUGUACUCCCAGGUCCUUUUGCACUGUUUCUGAAGUAGCUUUACGGAUUCAAUGGACCCUUCAUAGCUCUCCAUUGGCCCAGAAGGUCCCUUGUGGAGUUCCAGGAUUCUUUGUGCUGCUUCCAAGAUACCUUUCUCUACCCCCUAGAUAGAUUACAGUUCUGUGCCACCCAGGAGGCCCCCUGGACCGUCUGCUCUGAUUCCCAAAUCACUGUCUCCUGGGCAAAUUUUGGCUCUGCACCCACCCAGAGGGCCCCUAGCAGACUCCCCAGAUUUUUCUGUUUCAAGGUAGCUUUCUCCACCUGGUAGGGAGAUUGUGGCUUUGUACCCACCCAGCAGACCCCGUGUGGAAUCCUGCCUCUCCAUGCUGCUUCAGAAAUAACUUUCUCCACCCCAUAUGUAAAAUUUCAAUUCUACACUGGCACCAAAGGCCCUUUGUAGACUCCCAGGACUCAGGAUUUUUCACAGUGUUUCCAAAAUUACUUUCACCACCUGCUAAGCAAAUUGCGGCUCCCCAUCUGCCCAGGGGGCUCCUUGAAGAAUCCUGCCCAUCCACGUUGUUUCCAAAAAUCACUCUCUGUUCCCUAGGGAAAAUGGGGCUCUUCACCCACACACUGGCCCAUCCAUGGUUCCUCGAGCCUUCUGCACUGUAACAGCAGUUGCUUUAGUGUUGCCCUGCCUCAAUGCAGGCUGGGGUUGUGUGUACUGUGCUAUUCCCUAGUUCCCUCUGUUUGCUCCAAGGGUUCCCUCUGCUUGCUCCAUUUUCUCUGUAGCCUUAAGGGCUGUGGGCAGCUCCACAAUUAUCCUUAAGCAGCUACUGCUAAAGGGUAUAUCCUGGAGCUGGGGCAGUUGGGGUUUUACAGUGUGAGAGCACUAGCAGAGGGUAAGGCUAUAGUGGCAGAUCCCACCCCUUCUCUCCAGUACCUCCUAACAAUGGCAUCUAGCCUCCAAGCCUGACUGGGAUUCCUCAGCUUACAGCCUCAAAUGUGGUCACUCUAGACUCCAGUCUCUCCAGAUUGUCUCCAUGCUACCAAUCCUACCUAGUUUUUCCC